This is a long non-coding RNA of Ipomoea nil (Japanese morning glory), 673 nucleotides long. RefSeq lists it as uncharacterized. Lineage: Eukaryota; Viridiplantae; Streptophyta; Magnoliopsida; Solanales; Convolvulaceae. The transcript has 2 exons. The record is from RefSeq and is a predicted model, not a curated record.
AAAUUAUCUUUAUGCCCUUCAAAAAAUAUAUAUGCAAUUGAAGAGGAUAAGAAACGAAAGCCGAAGGCUCUCGCUCUCAGUCUCUCCUGGCCUCUACCCGCUGUUUCGGCCAACCUCCACCACUUGAUUUCAUAUUUCUGAAGAGAGAGAGAGAGAGAAUGGAACAGCAGUGAAGAAGCCAUGGAGAGAGACGAAGAAGGGCGGUUUACCUCGUGCUGGGGACGUUUGAAAGUAAUGAUUCCUUGGAUGAGAGGAAGAAGAAGAAGGGCGAAUCAUCUGCUAAAAACGCAAGGCAACGAUAACGGCGUAGGGUGCGGGAUAACGACGACGAGCGGUAAGUCGAAUUCGGCCGGAACAUUCCGUUAUAGUCCGCUGAGCUAUGCUCAGAAUUUCGACCGCGGUUGCCCGCUCGAAGACGAUGAGGAUUCUGCGCCUCUGCGUUUUUCAACGAGAUAUGCUGCGGCUUCAUCCACCAAAUCUUCGAAAGGCCGGUAAGGCUGUAUGUAUAUAUACAUAUAUACUCCGUAUAUACUUAUCACAGUGGUAAAUAUGCUUAAUUGUUUGCAUGGAUGCGUUAUCUAUGGAGUUUCAAUCUGCAUGGAAGCAGAUGAAAGAAUAGAAACUGUUCACACAUUGUUUAUGGAGUAAUUACGUAUAUAGAAUUGAAUACGAA